Molecule: ribosomal RNA, 393 nt
Filed under: uncultured bacterium
Lineage: Bacteria
Description: partial 16S ribosomal RNA
Rfam family: Bacterial small subunit ribosomal RNA
Source: RNAcentral
AUACGGAGGAUGCGAGCGUUAUCCGGAUUUAUUGGGUUUAAAGGGUGCGUAGGCUGUGCGUUAAGUCAGGGGUGACAUGCCGUCGCUCAACGACGGAGCUGCCCUUGAUACUGGCGUGCUGGAGUACGGAUGCCGUUGGAGGAAUGAGUGGUGUAGCGGUGAAAUGCUUAGAUAUCACUCAGAACACCGAUUGCGAAGGCAUCUGACGAAUCCGUCACUGACGCUGAGGCACGAAAGCGUGGGGAUAGAACAGGAUUAGAUACCCGGGUAUUCCACGCCGUAAACGAUGAUGACUAACCGUCGGCGAUAGACAGCCGGUGGCCAAGCGAAAGCGAUAAGUCAUCCACCUGGGGAGUACGUCGGCAACGAUGAAACUCAAAGGAAUUGACGGGG